ACGUGUGCUCUUCAGAUCUGUUUGUUGCAGGGUCAUAGUCUGUACAUCAGGCUUCAUUCUUCAGAUGAGGUUAGAGUAACAACAUCCUUGUACCUUGUAUUUUCCAGUACAGUCAAGAGCAGCCCACAAAGCCAGAUGUACAUUGGAACAGAAAGACUAUUUGUUGAGUGUAUGAAAAUGUGUUUUAAAUUGUUUCUGCAGUCUUUGCUUGUGAAUACAAAUGUCAUGGGAUGACAGCCUUCAUGAACGUUUUACUAGAAUCUUUAUGAUUUAGAUGGUGAUCAUUUUAUUCUAUUGACAGUAUUGAGCACUUUGCAGGUGGAUAUCAAGGUUAAUUAUCAUAUUGAGGAGGGAAGCAGUACAUUCUACUAACUUUCAAGUCUUUCUGAGAAAAAUUGAAUUAUUGCCAUUAAAGUGUUAUUAAGUUAAUAAAUUGGUUAAUAAAAGCAAUUAAAACUUUCGUUUCUUACAACUUGCCAUAACUCCUUUGCUUGAAAAUAGUUAUCACUGAAUAGAAAUAUGAAGAAGAUCAAAUGACUCUUGAAGUUUAAACAAAGGGAACUGCAAAGAAAACCUUCAAAGGGCACCAUCUCAGUUGUCAGCAUUUUGGUGAACAAAAUUCGUUGUGUGUUGUUCUAGAGCUAGUAAUAUGGACACUUUUAAUAAUACCAUCAUUUAUCAAGCACUUAUUUUGUAUCACAUCCCAUGCUUCAUCUUUUCAGGCUCCUAGCAGUUCUGUGAUGGCAGAUAUUACAGUUUCAAGUUUCUAAAUAUGUUUGGUCAGCUUCCGAGCCUCAGAUUUCCUAUCAGACUCCAAAUAUUGGGCCCUUUAUUCCACAUGUUGGCCCCCCCAUCCACAGCUUUUCUCUGACUUAUUGUUUCAUAUUUGAUAUUCUGAAUUUUCUCCGAAAAACACCACAUACUCAUUUUGAGGUUCUGGCUUUAAGAAAAUAAUUUAUUUAAUAUUAAAAAUAAUACCUUUUGUGGCUCAUCAAAAAAUUAUUCUGUCAGUUUAGGCAUAAUCAUUUUGGCAAGUUCACAGACUAUUUUCAAGCAUUGGUUGGGCCAGUUGAACUUGUAAAUACAUCUGCGAGAUUUAAAAAAUUCAAAUCAGUUGUCUACAACUAGUAUUUCUUUUUCUUGGCCAUAGGGCUUUAAUACCGAUUUUUUUUUUAACCAAAUAGUUCUCUCUAAAAUACCUAUAUAGGAUGCAGCAGAUUUUGCCAAUUUGGAGAAUAUUUUACUUUAUAUAUGAAAACUACGAUGCUUCGGGUUUUUUUUUAUCCUACAUAUUCAUUUAUUUUCACUUGGUAUUUUAGCUGCACUGCGUAAAGUGACAUAUCCCUGAUGAUUUUUUUCCUUCUCCAACCAAGGAGAGUUUUUGUCUUUUUUUAAAGCAGUACAGCAUUUAAUCUCUCAUAUCUAUUAAGGGAAAUUUUAUAGGUAGAAAAAAGACCCUGAGUGUUAUAUGGGGAAAAAAAGUGCAUUGUUAAGUGGGAGAGAUUAUAAACAGGCUUAGUUUUUUUUAACAUAGAAGCUUUGAAGAUAAAUAUGCCUUGUUCAGAAAUUUUAACCAAGAAUCAGUGAUCCUUAAUAAUUCUCAUCAUAUGUUGACAAAUUCACAUUUGCAUACAUUACUCGUGUAUAAAGAUUGAUUAGCGUCUAGCUUUCUUGUAUUUUCUAGUAUACUUUACUUUUAACAAGUUGCAUAUCCUGUGCAUUGGACUUUUCAGAAUUAGUAUUCAUUAGUCUCUUUAAUGAAGAUUUUUUUUUAAUAUGUAUGUUUGAGAGAGAGCGAGCACAAGCAGGGGAUGGGCAGAAAGAG
Molecule: long non-coding RNA, 1825 nt
Organism: Leopardus geoffroyi (Geoffroy's cat)
Lineage: Eukaryota; Metazoa; Chordata; Mammalia; Carnivora; Felidae
Exons: 4
Source: RefSeq, a predicted model, not a curated record